This 448-nucleotide ribosomal RNA is filed under the name uncultured Gammaproteobacteria bacterium. Its description in RNAcentral is "bacterial SSU rRNA". It matches the Rfam family "Bacterial small subunit ribosomal RNA", at positions 1082 to 1532 of the family's 1533-position model. Lineage: Bacteria; Pseudomonadati; Pseudomonadota; Gammaproteobacteria. The record is from RNAcentral.
UAGUCCGCACGAGCGCACCCUUAUCCUUAGUUGCCAGCACGUAAUGGUGGGAACUCUNAGGAGACUGCCGGUGACAAACCGGAGGAAGGUGGGGACGACGUCAAGUCAUCAUGGCCCUUACGAGAUGGGCUACACACGUGCUACAAUGGCAAGUACAAAGGGUUGCAAACUCGCGAGAGUAAGCGGAUCCCAUAAAGCUUGUCGUAGUCCGGAUUGGAGUCUGCAACUCGACCCCAUGAAGUCGGAAUCGCUAGUAAUCGUGGAUCAGAAUGCCACGGUGAAUACGUUCCCGGGCCUUGUACACACCGCCCGUCACACCAUGGGAGUGGGCUGCAAAAGAAGUGGAUAGCUUAACCUUCGGGAGGGCGUUCACCACUUUGUGGUUCAUGACUGGGGUGAAGUCGUAACAAGGUAGCCGUAGGGGAACCUGCGGCUGGAUCACCUCCUU